UAGUCAACGAUGGAUAGGGGUUCUGAGAGGAAGGUCCCCCACAUUGGAACUGAGACACGGUCCAAACUCCUACGGGAGGCAGCAGUGAGGAAUAUUGGUCAAUGGGCGAUGGCCUGAACCAGCCAAGUAGCGUGAAGGAUGACUGCCCUAUGGGUUGUAAACUUCUUUUAUAAAGGAAUAAAGUCGGGUAUGCAUACCCGUUUGCAUGUACUUUAUGAAUAAGGAUCGGCUAACUCCGUGCCAGCAGCCGCGGUAAUACGGAGGAUCCGAGCGUUAUCCGGAUUUAUUGGGUUUAAAGGGAGCGUAGAUGGAUGUUUAAGUCAGUUGUGAAAGUUUGCGGCUCAACCGUAAAAUUGCAGUUGAUACUGGAUGUCUUGAGUGCAGUUGAGGCAGGCGGAUUCGUGGUGUAGCGGUGAAUGCUUAGAUAUCACGAAGAACUCCGAUUGCGAAGGCAGCCUGCUAAGCUG
RNAcentral lists this ribosomal RNA (467 nucleotides) under uncultured Bacteroidales bacterium. Its description in RNAcentral is "bacterial SSU rRNA". It matches the Rfam family "Bacterial small subunit ribosomal RNA", at positions 270 to 736 of the family's 1533-position model. The record is from RNAcentral. Lineage: Bacteria; Pseudomonadati; Bacteroidota; Bacteroidia; Bacteroidales.